This 497-nucleotide ribosomal RNA is filed under the name uncultured bacterium. RNAcentral's name for it is "partial 16S ribosomal RNA". It matches the Rfam family "Bacterial small subunit ribosomal RNA", at positions 28 to 507 of the family's 1533-position model. The record is from RNAcentral.
GAUGAACGCUGGCGGCGUGCCUAAUACAUGCAAGUCGAGCGAACGGAUGAGGAGCUUGCUCCUCUGACGUUAGCGGCGGACGGGUGAGUAACACGUGGAUAACCUACCUAUAAGACUGGGAUAACUUCGGGAAACCGGAGCUAAUACCGGAUAAUAUAUUGAACCGCAUGGUUCAAUAGUGAAAGACGGUUUUGCUGUCACUUAUAGAUGGAUCCGCGCCACAUUAGCUAGUUGGUAAGGUAACGGCUUACCAAGGCAACGAUGCGUAGCCGACCUGAGAGGGUGAUCGGCCACACUGGAACUGAGACACGGUCCAGACUCCUACGGGAGGCAGCAGUAGGGAAUCUUCCGCAAUGGGCGAAAGCCUGACGGAGCAACGCCGCGUGAGUGAUGAAGGUCUUCGGAUCGUAAAACUCUGUUAUUAGGGAAGAACAAAUGUGUAAGUAACUAUGCACGUCUUGACGGUACCUAAUCAGAAAGCCACGGCUAACUACGUG